AUGGCACACGGACAAACAGUUGUCCAUGCAGCGUUACCACAGCUGAUGUCUGAUGAGGAUCAAUUCUUGAGGGUAAACUCACAACCUGAUUCAUGAAAUUAUUUAUUAUAUCAGAAAAAUAAUAGAAGCACUGUGACUGAGUAAUUUGCCAUUGUAUUCAAGAACAAAAUAAUUAUGGUUUAAAAAAGUAGAUAACUCACCUUUUUGAAAGGUGUCACGCCCCAAGGAUUAUUGGGAUGCUCAGGCUCGCCGCUUAUGACCAAACGUCCUGCUGGGUCUGAUUGAACACUACCUCCUCCCGCAGAAGGCCAGGAACUAAAGCAUAUAUU
This 329-nucleotide long non-coding RNA is filed under the name Medicago truncatula (barrel medic). RNAcentral describes it as "lncRNA gene29554". Lineage: Eukaryota; Viridiplantae; Streptophyta; Magnoliopsida; Fabales; Fabaceae. The record is from RNAcentral.